RNAcentral lists this ribosomal RNA (721 nucleotides) under Pantoea agglomerans. RNAcentral describes it as "bacterial SSU rRNA". It matches the Rfam family "Bacterial small subunit ribosomal RNA", at positions 54 to 767 of the family's 1533-position model. The record is from RNAcentral. Lineage: Bacteria; Pseudomonadati; Pseudomonadota; Gammaproteobacteria; Enterobacterales; Erwiniaceae.
CAUGCAGUCGGACGGUAGCACAGAGAGCUUGCUCUUGGGUGACGAGUGGCGGACGGGUGAGUAAUGUCUGGGGAUCUGCCCGAUAGAGGGGGAUAACCACUGGAAACGGUGGCUAAUACCGCAUAACGUCGCAAGACCAAAGAGGGGGACCUUCGGGCCUCUCACUAUCGGAUGAACCCAGAUGGGAUUAGCUAGUAGGCGGGGUAAUGGGCCACCUAGGCGACGAUCCCUAGCUGGUCUGAGAGGAUGACCAGCCACACUGGAACUGAGACACGGUCCAGACUCCUACGGGAGGCAGCAGUGGGGAAUAUUGCACAAUGGGCGCAAGCCUGAUGCAGCCAUGCCGCGUGUAUGAAGAAAGCCUUCGGGUUGUAAAGUACUUUCAGCGGGGAGGAAGGCGAUGGGGUUAAUAACCCUGUCGAUUGACGUUACCCGCACAAAAAACACCGGCUAACUCCCUGCCAGCAGCCGCGGUAAUACAGAGGGUGCAAGCGUUAAUCGGAAUUACUGGGCGUAAAGCGCACGCACGCGGUCUGUUAAGUCAGAUGUGAAAUCCCCGGGCUUAACCUGGGAACUGCAUUUGAAACUGGCAGGCUUGAGUCUUGUAGAGGGGGGUAGAAUUCCAGGUGUAGCGCUGAAAUGCGUAUAGAUCUGGAGGAAUACCGGUGGCGAAGGCGGCCCCCUGGACAAAGACUGACACUCACGUGCGAAAGCGUGUGGA